UGGGACAGGCAGAUUCAUGAUGUAGAGC
RNAcentral lists this non-coding RNA (28 nucleotides) under Mus musculus (house mouse). Lineage: Eukaryota; Metazoa; Chordata; Mammalia; Rodentia; Muridae. The record is from RNAcentral.